ACAGUCACCGGCAUGCUGCUAGGGGAAGGAUAUCUGCAGAUCGUCGCUUUCGGCACCUUGGUACGAAUCCCUCCUCUGCACCAAGUUUUAAUGAAGAACCCAGAGUGUGUUCAUUCCCUGCCUUGUGCAGGGAAAUGUCUUCCCCUUUUUUGUCCUCUUCUGUGUAGUUAUUGCGUCUUUGACAGCUGAUAGCCCCUCCGCAGGGAUUUCUUUUGUUCCAUUUUUGGAAGACUUUUGGCAACCUCGUGCUUCCAAAAAUUUGGGUGAAAAGUGUGGGUUGAUUAUUUACACAAAAGUCAGACAUAUCACAAUUAAAUCAUAAUUUCUUUCUGAUUACUUCGAUUUGACAGUUUGAUGUUCAGAAGGCGUGGAUGAGGCAUCUGGGAUUGAUGAGCAAUGCAGCAUGCUCUCAGUUUGUAUUAUUAGUGGGGCAGGUGAUGCUUAGAGCUGAUUGGUGAGCACUGCAGCGUGCUCUCAGUUUGUAUUAUUAGUGGGGCAGGUGAUGUUUAGAGCUGAUCGCUGAACACUGAAGCGUGCUCUCAGAUUGUAUUAUUAGUGGGGCAGGUGAUGUUUAGAGCUGAUCGCUGAACACUGAAGCGUGCUCUCAGAUUGUAUUAUUAGUGGGGCAGGUGAUGUUUAGAGCUGAUCGCUGAACACUGAAGCAUGCUCUCAGAUUGUAUUAUUAGUGGGGCAGGUGAUGCUUAGAGCUGAUUGGUGAACAGUGAAGCGUGCUCUCGGAUUGUAUUAUUAGUGGGGCAGGUGAUGCUUAGAGCUGAUUGGUGAACAGUGAAGCGUGCUCUCGGAUUGUAUUAUUAGUGGGGCAGGUGAUGCUUAGAGCUGAUUGGUGAACAGUGAAGCGUGCUCUCGGAUUGUAUUAUUAGUGGGGCAGGCGAUGCUUAGAGCUGAUUGGUGAUCACUGAAGUGUGCUCUCGGAUUGUAUUAUUAGUGGGGCAGGUGAUGCUUAGAGCUGAUUGGUGAACACUGCAGCGUGCUCUCAGGUUGUAUUAUUAGUGGGGCAGGCGAUGCUUAGAGCUGAUUGGUGAACACUGAAGCAUGCUCUCAGAUUGUAUUAUUAGUGGGGCAGGCGAUGCUUAGAGCUGAUUGGUGAACACUGAAGCGUGCUCUCAGAUUGUAUUAUUAGUGGGGCAGGUGAUGUUUAGAGCUGAUUGGUGAACACUGAAGCGUGCUCUCAGAUUGUAUUAUUAGUGGGGCAG
This 1214-nucleotide long non-coding RNA is filed under the name Homo sapiens (human). RNAcentral describes it as "HSALNT0025998". The record is from RNAcentral. Lineage: Eukaryota; Metazoa; Chordata; Mammalia; Primates; Hominidae.